This 84-nucleotide small RNA is filed under the name Escherichia coli. RNAcentral's name for it is "partial RtT sRNA". It matches the Rfam family "RtT RNA", at positions 45 to 130 of the family's 130-position model. Rfam says of the family: This family represents a bacterial cis-regulatory element known as RtT RNA. The exact function of RtT is unknown although it is thought that it may be involved in changing the cellular response in relation to amino acid starvation. Lineage: Bacteria; Pseudomonadati; Pseudomonadota; Gammaproteobacteria; Enterobacterales; Enterobacteriaceae. The record is from RNAcentral.
GAGUUGAGCGUAGCGAAACAACGGAGCCGCUCGCGGCGACGGCCCGAAGGGCGAGCGAAGCGAGUCAUCCUGCACGACCCCCCA